UGAUGCUUUGAGGAAAACCCAAGAAAUUAUACCUGACCAAUCCAGGACAAACAAGAACACGUCCAAGAACAUUUCAGGGAUUACAACGGACCAAGCCAGACCUAAUCUGUUGGAAGUCAGCAAUAUUAUUCCAAAAGCCUCCACUGAAGUGCAGUCUUCAGGAAAUAGAGGUCCUGCUGUGGGGUCUGCCCAGUCUUCGCCCGUGAAUGUGUCGGCUACAUGUGCCAGCAGACCCUGCUUUCCAGGAGUUCAAUGCAUCAAUCGGAGGCCACCUCAUGUUGGAUAUGUUUGUGGUCGAUGCCCGCCUGGCCUUUAUGGUAAUGGACGUGUUUGUAUGAAGAGCGCCAAGGCAGCAUCCAAUCAUCUCCCUCAGCAGCAGACUUUAGGGAAAUCUACUCGACCUCAGCACGGAACAAGUAAAGUUUCCCAGCUGCACCUUCCAUCUCUGCCCAACAGACACAACAUCAAACAUCUGUCUGCAUCGGUCACCAGAGCAAACCGAGACAACACCCCACGCCAGCCUCCUGCUUUAGGAAGGGAAGGUGGGACGGGCAGAAGAGAAGCGGUUACUGUCGUAUCAAGAGAUGUCCCUAAAGUAACCAACGGUGACGUCCACUUAACUACGAAUAGCCAUGUCACUCACCAAGGUGCCCACCCCAGAUCAGACGCCACUACAUACGCCAAAACUAGCAGAACUACAAACAGAAAGUUAGUGCUUCCACGUGCACCUGUUUCUACGAAUUCUAAUGGAGCGCUGGCAGGUGCCUCACCCCUCAAGGUGACCCGACCCGCUCCUCACCCCCCGACCCAGUUUUCCAGAGAGACACAACCCAAACACACACCUCAUUCCCAGCGGAGCCACCUGGCGUCCAUGCAACCCCAACCCUGGACCAAUCCAAAACCGGUUCUCCCGCUCACCGCCGCCCUCAGCGCUCUGUCCUACUCCAUGUCUGAGUCGGAGUUCUCAGCGGACGGAGAUGAGGAGGAACCUGGAUCCCAGAGCCCAGAGCAGUCGUCGGUGGUCCCAGUGUUGACCCUCACAACACCGGGUAAGACAGUGUCCACCUCCCCCCUCCAAAAGGCUGCAUCCGUCCAACCAGGGCCUGGAAGCAGCACCACACCAGCCCUGACCACCUGCGCAGACCGACCAUGUUUUCCUGGCGUCCAGUGUGAACCCGCCUUGGACGGAGGCUUCCGCUGUGGGAGGUGUCCUGUUGGAUAUACCGGUGAUGGACAGACCUGUCGAGCUGUUUGCAAGCAUACGUGUGGAAGAAAUAUGGCGUGUGCAGCGCCGAAUACAUGCCGCUGUAAACCAGGAUACACUGGACUCAACUGUGAGACAGG
Molecule: long non-coding RNA, 1344 nt
Filed under: Sphaeramia orbicularis (orbiculate cardinalfish)
Lineage: Eukaryota; Metazoa; Chordata; Actinopteri; Kurtiformes; Apogonidae
Description: lncRNA (ENSSORG00005001637.1)
Source: RNAcentral